GUACCCUUAGCUCAGUUGGUUAGAGCUGACGGCUCAUAACCGUCUGGUCGUAGGUUCGAGUCCUACAGGGUACA
RNAcentral lists this transfer RNA (74 nucleotides) under Enterococcus hirae. RNAcentral describes it as "tRNA-Ile". It matches the Rfam family "tRNA". From Rfam's summary of the family: Transfer RNA (tRNA) molecules are approximately 80 nucleotides in length. Their secondary structure includes four short double-helical elements and three loops (D, anti-codon, and T loops). The record is from RNAcentral. Lineage: Bacteria; Bacillati; Bacillota; Bacilli; Lactobacillales; Enterococcaceae.